AGUGAACGCUGGCGGUAGGCCUAACACAUGCAAGUCGAACGGCAGCACAGUAAGAGCUUGCUCUUCCGGGUGGCGAGUGGCGUACGUGUGAGGAAUACAUCGGAAUCUACUUUUUCGUGGGGGAUAACGUAGGGAAACUUACGCUAAUACCGCAUACGACCUACGGGUGAAAGCAGGGGAUCUUCGGACCUUGCGCGAUUGACUGAGCCGAUGUCGGAUUAGCUAGUUGGCGGGGUAAAGGCUCACCAAGGCGACGAUCCGUAGCUGGUCUGAGAGGAUGAUCAGCCACACUGGAACUGAGACACGGUCCAGACGCCUACGGGAGGCAGCAGUGGGGAAUAUUGGACAAUGGGCGCAAGCCUGAUCCAGCCAGACCGCGUGGGUGAAGAAGGCCUUCGGGUUGUAAAGCCCUUUUGUUGGGAAAGAAAAGCAGCAGGUUAAUACCCCGCUGUUCUGACGGUACCCAAAGAAUAAGCACCGGCUAACUUCGUG
This 492-nucleotide ribosomal RNA is filed under the name uncultured bacterium. Its description in RNAcentral is "partial 16S ribosomal RNA". It matches the Rfam family "Bacterial small subunit ribosomal RNA", at positions 29 to 507 of the family's 1533-position model. The record is from RNAcentral.